GACGAACGCUGGCGGCGUGCUUAACACAUGCAAGUCGAACGGUAAGGCCCUUCGGGGUACACGAGUGGCGAACGGGUGAGUAACACGUGGGUGAUCUGCCCUGCACUUCGGGAUAAGCCUGGGAAACUGGGUCUAAUACCGGAUAGGACCCUGGGAUGCAUGUCCUGGGGUGGAAAGCUUUUGCGGUGUGGGAUGGGCCCGCGGCCUAUCAGCUUGUUGGUGGGGUGAUGGCCUACCAAGGCGACGACGGGUAGCCGGCCGGAGAGGGUGACCGGACACACUGGGACUGCGAUACGGCCCAGACUCCUACGGGAGGCAGCAGUGGGGAAUAUUGCACAAUGGGCGCAAGCCUGAUGCAGCGACGCCGCGUGAGGGAUGACGGCCUUCGGGUUGUAAACCUCUUUCAGCACCGACGAAGCGCAAGUGACGGUAGGUGCAGAAGAAGGACCGGCCAACUACGUGCCAGCCGCCGCAGUAA
This 478-nucleotide ribosomal RNA is filed under the name uncultured bacterium. Its description in RNAcentral is "partial 16S ribosomal RNA". It matches the Rfam family "Bacterial small subunit ribosomal RNA", at positions 28 to 523 of the family's 1533-position model. The record is from RNAcentral.